This 431-nucleotide ribosomal RNA is filed under the name Sphingobium sp. S24. RNAcentral describes it as "bacterial SSU rRNA". It matches the Rfam family "Bacterial small subunit ribosomal RNA", at positions 13 to 491 of the family's 1533-position model. The record is from RNAcentral. Lineage: Bacteria; Pseudomonadati; Pseudomonadota; Alphaproteobacteria; Sphingomonadales; Sphingobiaceae.
UUGAUCCUGGCUCAGAACGAACGCUGGCGGCAUGCCUAAUACAUGCAAGUCGAACGAAGGCUUCGGCCUUAGUGGCGCACGGGUGCGUAACGCGUGGGAAUCUGCCCUUGGGUUCGGAAUAACGUCUGGAAACGGACGCUAAUACCGGAUGAUGACGUAAGUCCAAAGAUUUAUCGCCCAAGGAUGAGCCCGCGUAGGAUUAGCUAGUUGGUGAGGUAAAGGCUCACCAAGGCGACGAUCCUUAGCUGGUCUGAGAGGAUGAUCAGCCACACUGGGANUGAGACACGGCCCAGACUCCUACGGGAGGCAGCAGUAGGGAAUAUUGGACAAUGGGCGAAAGCCUGAUCCAGCAAUGCCGCGUGAGUGAUGAAGGCCUUAGGGUUGUAAAGCUCUUUUACCCGGGAUGAUAAUGACAGUACCGGGAGAUAAGC